Austrofundulus limnaeus is the source of this 1017-nucleotide long non-coding RNA. RefSeq lists it as uncharacterized. The record is from RefSeq and is a predicted model, not a curated record. The transcript is spliced from 2 exons. NCBI's taxonomy places the organism in Eukaryota, Metazoa, Chordata, Actinopteri, Cyprinodontiformes, Rivulidae.
UUUGUUUAAAUAAAUUCUUUGUUUUUUGGAGCUUUGCAACUGCCUGCAUCAUGGGUUCAUUCCUGCCUGAGAUUCGUAACACGAUGAGCAUUUUGGGGACUACUAUUCAUCCAGUAAGUUUUUAGGACUGCAUCUGCCCAGCAGAGGCUGCCAUGGCAACUGAGACCUUUUUAUUGCAUUUAUGCCAAAUCAUUUUUAUUUCUGAGUAAACCUUUCAAAGAAGAACUGAGACAUUAAAACAAAAAACGAAGCUGUUCAAUCCGAGUGCUCUUCAUCUUCUCGGGGUUAGGCAGGGGCGGGGUUGCUCAGCAAACUCCAAAGUGAGGAUGACCUUGGUGGGAAAGCCAAAACCAACAUCCAGGUGGAGCCAAGUUCAUUUAGUUUCCGAUGAAAGGGGAUUUCUGAGUCCUUCGGGCAGCCGGGGACAGACGGAGGACAGCAGGAGUUUCACACAGAUUCAAACACAGGAAGCUGGACUUUAGAUUCAUUGUGUCAACGACACACACGACUCAGAUACACUGCGAGACUCUGUGUGGACGUCUUGAUGGGGGUAUAAGCUUCCACAGAGGGGAGCGUUAUGUGAACGUGCUGACAAGCCUCUCUGAGUGACCCCUUGUGCUGCAGAGAUGUUGCAGGUCACUCUGAUGAGAGACAGAUGUGGGCACAGGAAGUUCUGCAUUUAUCAGCCAAAACCCACUGAUGUCAGGAACUCUCAAAAAGGGAUCAAAAUACCGUGUGGAGGAUUUUCAUUAGACUGUCAGUAUCUGCUCUAACAGCCCCAAUCCCCAAAAAGCUGUUUAAAACAUUGCAAAAACAGAAUUAAAUGAUUUGUUCAUUUGAUAAACUUACAUUUUAUUAACAAUCCUGGACAAUUUAGAGCAGUUUCUCUCUCUAAAUACAAUAUGGGUAUGUUUAUUUUUGUUUUUAUGUACUGUAUAUUCUACUUUUUUAUUUUUAUUGCCUGUAAACGUACAGUGCUGGAAGCCUUGAUUAAUAAAGUAUCAAUCAAUCAAUCAA